Molecule: transfer RNA, 61 nt
Filed under: Cardiocondyla emeryi
Lineage: Eukaryota; Metazoa; Arthropoda; Insecta; Hymenoptera; Formicidae
Description: transfer RNA-Leu
Source: RNAcentral
UAUGGCAGAUUAGUGCAAAGGACUUAAACCCCUUACAUAAAGAUAUUUUCUUUUAUUAAAA